RNAcentral lists this transfer RNA (74 nucleotides) under Aborichthys elongatus. Its description in RNAcentral is "tRNA-Leu". It matches the Rfam family "tRNA". From Rfam's summary of the family: Transfer RNA (tRNA) molecules are approximately 80 nucleotides in length. Their secondary structure includes four short double-helical elements and three loops (D, anti-codon, and T loops). Lineage: Eukaryota; Metazoa; Chordata; Actinopteri; Cypriniformes; Nemacheilidae. The record is from RNAcentral.
ACUGGGGUGGCAGAGCAUGGUAAUUGCAAAAGACCUAAACCCUUUCGACCAGGGGUUCAAAUCCCCUCCCUAGU